Molecule: ribosomal RNA, 483 nt
Filed under: uncultured bacterium
Lineage: Bacteria
Description: partial 16S ribosomal RNA
Rfam family: Bacterial small subunit ribosomal RNA
Source: RNAcentral
GACGAACGCUGGCGGCGUGCUUAACACAUGCAAGUCGAACGCUGAAGCUCAGCUUUUGUUGGGUGGAUGAGUGGCGAACGGGUGAGUAACACGUGAGUAACCUGCCUCCUUCUUUGGGAUAACGCCCGGAAACGGGUGCUAAUACUGGAUAUUCACUGGUCUUCGCAUGGGGGUUGGUGGAAAGGGUUUUUCUGGUGGGGGAUGGGCUCGCGGCCUAUCAGCUUGUUGGUGGGGUGAUGGCCUACCAAGGCUUUGACGGGUAGCCGGCCUGAGAGGGUGACCGGUCACAUUGGGACUGGGAUACGGCCCAGACUCCUACGGGAGGCAGCAGUGGGGAAUAUUGCACAAUGGGCGCAAGCCUGAUGCAGCGACGCCGCGUGAGGGAUGGAGGCCUUCGGGUUGUGAACCCCUUUCGCUCAUGGUCAAGCCGCAACAAUGGUUGUGGUGAGGGUAGUGGGUAAAGAAGCGCCGGCUAACUACGUG